RNAcentral lists this ribosomal RNA (593 nucleotides) under Verrucomicrobiota bacterium. RNAcentral describes it as "bacterial SSU rRNA". It matches the Rfam family "Bacterial small subunit ribosomal RNA", at positions 1 to 571 of the family's 1533-position model. Lineage: Bacteria; Pseudomonadati; Verrucomicrobiota. The record is from RNAcentral.
UUUAACGGAGAGUUUGAUUCUGGCUCAGAACGAACGCUGGCGGCGUGGAUAAGACAUGCAAGUCGAACGAGAUUUUCCGUUGUAGCAAUACGAUGGAAAAUUUAGUGGCGAACGGGUGCUUAACACGUGGGCAACCUGCCAUGAAGUGGGGGAUAGCUCGCCGAAAGGCGAAUUAAUACCGCAUGUGAUUAGAGAGGACAUCUUUUCGAAAUUAAAGUCGGGGCAACCUGACGCUUCUUGUGGGGCCCGCGGCCUAUCAGCUAGUUGGUGAGGUAAUGGCUCACCAAGGCUUUGACGGGUAGCUGGUCUGAGAGGACGACCAGCCACACUGGGACUGAGACACGGCCCAGACACCUACGGGUGGCAGCAGUCGAGAAUUUUUGACAAUGGGGGAAACCCUGAUCGAGCGACGCCGCGUGGAGGAUGAAGGUCUUCGGAUUGUAAACUCCUGUCAUUGGGGAACAAGGUGCAUACGUUAACUGCGUGUGCAUUGAUAGUACCCGAAGAGGAAGAGACGGCUAACUCUGUGCCAGCAGCCGCGGUAAUACAGAGGUCUCAAGCGUUGUUCGGAUUCAUUGGGCGUAAAGGGUGCG